GACGAACGCUGGCGGCGCGCCUAACACAUGCAAGUCGAACGAGCGAGAGAGAGCUUGCUUUCUCGAGCGAGUGGCGAACGGGUGAGUAACGCGUGAGGAACCUGCCUCAAAGAGGGGGACAACAGUUGGAAACGACUGCUAAUACCGCAUAAGCCCACGGUGCCGCAUGGCACAGAGGGAAAAGGAGCAAUCCGCUUUGAGAUGGCCUCGCGUCUGAUUAGCUAGUUGGUGAGGUAAUGGCCCACCAAGGCGACGAUCGGUAGCCGGACUGAGAGGUUGAACGGCCACAUUGGGACUGAGACACGGCCCAGACUCCUACGGGAGGCAGCAGUGGGGAAUAUUGCACAAUGGGGGAAAACCUGAUGCAGCGACGCCGCGUGGAGGAAGAAGGUCUUCGGAUUGUAAACUCCUGUUGUUGGGGAAGAUAAUGACGGUACCCAACAAGGAAGUGACGGCUAACUACGUG
RNAcentral lists this ribosomal RNA (466 nucleotides) under uncultured bacterium. Its description in RNAcentral is "partial 16S ribosomal RNA". It matches the Rfam family "Bacterial small subunit ribosomal RNA", at positions 28 to 507 of the family's 1533-position model. The record is from RNAcentral.